GAUGAACGCUGGCGGCGUGCUUAACACAUGCAAGUCGAACGAAGCAUUUGCGACAGAUUUUUUCGGAAUGAAGUUGCUUAUGACUGAGUGGCGGACGGGUGAGUAACGCGUGGGUAACCUGCCUUGUACUGGGGGAUAGCAGCUGGAAACGGCUGGUAAUACCGCAUAAGCGCACAAUGUUGCAUGACAUGGUGUGAAAAACUCCGGUGGUAUAAGAUGGACCCGCGUCUGAUUAGCUAGUUGGUGAGAUAACAGCCCACCAAGGCGACGAUCAGUAGCCGACCUGAGAGGGUGACCGGCCACAUAGGGACUGAGACACGGCCCAGACUCCUACGGGAGGCAGCAGUGGGGAAUAUUGCACAAUGGAGGAAACUCUGAUGCAGCGACGCCGCGUGAGUGAAGAAGUAAUUCGUUAUGUAAAGCUCUAUCAGCAGGGAAGAUAGUGACGGUACCUGACUAAGAAGCUCCGGCUAAAUACGUG
Molecule: ribosomal RNA, 481 nt
Filed under: uncultured bacterium
Lineage: Bacteria
Description: partial 16S ribosomal RNA
Rfam family: Bacterial small subunit ribosomal RNA
Source: RNAcentral